This 468-nucleotide ribosomal RNA is filed under the name uncultured bacterium. RNAcentral describes it as "partial 16S ribosomal RNA". It matches the Rfam family "Bacterial small subunit ribosomal RNA", at positions 28 to 507 of the family's 1533-position model. The record is from RNAcentral.
GACGAACGCUGGCGGCGUGCUUAACACAUGCGAGUCGAACGGAAAGGCCCUGCUUUUGUGGGGUGCUCGAGUGGCGAACGGGUGAGUAACACGUGAGUAACCUGCCCUUGACUUUGGGAUAACUUCAGGAAACUGGGGCUAAUACCGGAUAGGAGCUCCUGCUGCAUGGUGGGGGUUGGAAAGUUUCGGCGGUUGGGGAUGGACUCGCGGCUUAUCAGCUUGUUGGUGGGGUAGUGGCUUACCAAGGCUUUGACGGGUAGCCGGCCUGAGAGGGUGACCGGCCACAUUGGGACUGAGAUACGGCCCAGACUCCUACGGGAGGCAGCAGUGGGGAAUAUUGCACAAUGGGCGGAAGCCUGAUGCAGCAACGCCGCGUGCGGGAUGACGGCCUUCGGGUUGUAAACCGCUUUCGCCUGUGACGAAGCGUGAGUGACGGUAAUGGGUAAAGAAGCACCGGCUAACUACGUG